RNAcentral lists this ribosomal RNA (403 nucleotides) under uncultured bacterium. Its description in RNAcentral is "bacterial SSU rRNA". It matches the Rfam family "Bacterial small subunit ribosomal RNA", at positions 1125 to 1527 of the family's 1533-position model. The record is from RNAcentral.
GUUCGGCUGGGCACUCUAGUGAGACUGCCGGCGUCAAGCCGGAGGAAGGUGGGGACGACGUCAAGUCCUCAUGGCCCUUAUGUCCAGGGCUACACACGUGCUACAAUGGUGCAUACAGAGCGCAGCGAGCUCGCGAGAGUAAGCCAAUCGCAAAAAGUGCACCUCAGUACAGAUUGCACUCUGCAACUCGAGUGCAUGAAGUCGGAAUCGCUAGUAAUCGCUGAUCAGCAGGCAGCGGUGAAUACGUUCCCGGGCCUUGUACACACCGCCCGUCACACCAUGGGAGUUGAUUGCUCCAGAAGUGCCUGAGCGAACCGUAAGGGAGCAGGGCCCCAAGGAGUGGUCGAUGACUGGGGUGAAGUCGUAACAAGGUAGCCGUAGGGGAACCUGCGGCUGGAUCACC